This 467-nucleotide ribosomal RNA is filed under the name uncultured Acidovorax sp. RNAcentral's name for it is "bacterial SSU rRNA". It matches the Rfam family "Bacterial small subunit ribosomal RNA", at positions 916 to 1381 of the family's 1533-position model. Lineage: Bacteria; Pseudomonadati; Pseudomonadota; Betaproteobacteria; Burkholderiales; Comamonadaceae. The record is from RNAcentral.
GACGGGACCCGCACAAGCGGUGGAUGAUGUGGUUUAAUUCGAUGCAACGCGAAAACUUACCCACCUUUGACAUGUACGGAAUCCUUUAGAGAUAGAGGAGUGCUCGAAAGAGAACCGUAACACAGGUGCUGCAUGGCUGUCGUCAGCUCGUGUCGUGAGGUGUUGGGUUAAGUCCCGCAACGAGCGCAACCCUUGUCAUUAGUUGCUACAUUCAGUUGGGCACUCUAAUGAGACUGCCGGUGACAAACCGGAGGAAGGUGGGGAUGACGUCAAGUCCUCAUGGCCCUUAUAGGUGGGGCUACACACGUCAUACAAUGGAUGGUACAAAGGGUCGCCAACCCGCGAGGGGGAGCCAAUCCCAUAAAGCCAUUCGUAGUCCGGAUCGCAGUCUGCAACUCGACUGCGUGAAGUCGGAAUCGCUAGUAAUCGUGGAUCAGCAUGUCACGGUGAAUACGUUCCCGGGUCUU